Molecule: unclassified non-coding RNA, 1024 nt
Filed under: Hevea brasiliensis (rubber tree)
Lineage: Eukaryota; Viridiplantae; Streptophyta; Magnoliopsida; Malpighiales; Euphorbiaceae
Source: RNAcentral
CAUCUUCCAUCAAAUAUAUCAGACCCUGGCCAGAUUGCACGUGCUGUUUAUGAUGUUGAGGAGGCAACAACCAUUGCUUUUGAAAUUAUAGUUGAACACAAGAUGAUCAGAUCAGAAACUCGUGCUUUACUUAUUAAAUUCCUUCAGCUUUUAGUGGCACAUCAUCCUUCUAAGAGGUGCCGGAAGGGAAGUGCUGAAGUGCUAGUAAACUUUGAUGAUUUGUGCCCACUAGAUGAAAAACAGGAGAUUGUUAGUAAUGGCAAGAGUGUGCUGGGGAAUUUCCAGAUAUGUGGAAAAGAAGUUCCUCGGGGAUAUUGGAUGUUUUGCCGUGGCAGCAAGAAUGAUACUAGGGGCUUUAGUUGCGGAUUAUGGGUUCUAUUGCAUUCAUUGUCUGUGAGGAUUGAGGAUGCAGAGAGUCAGUUUGCCUUUACAGCUAUAUGUGAUUUUAUCCACAAUUUCUUUAUUUGCCAAGAAUGUCGCCAACAUUUCUAUCAUAUGUGUUCAAGUGUUAACAGUCCUUUCAACACGUCUCGUGACUUUGCCCUUUGGUUGUGGAAUGCACAUAAUUUGGUAAAUGAGAGGUUAAUGAAGGAAGAAGCAUCUCUUGGAACUGGUGACCCUAAGUUCCCAAAGAUUAUUUGCCUAUGUUCCCAAAGAUUAUUUGGCCUCCAAAGCAGCUAUGCUCUUCGUGUUCUCACUCUCAUGGCCGGAAAAAUGAUGGAACCAAUCGGAUUGAUUGGGAUACGGAUGAGGUAUACAAGUUCUUAACUAAUUAUUAUGGAAAAACGCUGGCUUCUCUGUACAAGGACAGCAGUCUUCUUGGGAGUGAAGCGAUUGAUGGGGCUAUUGAAGAUUUGGUGGCCUCAACAAAUGCGGUAGUUGUGCCAGUGGGGGCUGCAUUGGCAAUUGCUCUUGCUAGCUGUGCAUUUGGAGCGCUUGCAUGUUAUUGGCGUUCACAACAGAAGAGUCGGAAGCCAAGGAGGAAGGCGGAACUAAGAUAGUUAGAAGGACCAAACCAUACACA